GCUUACCAAGGCGACGAUACCUACCCGACCUGAAAGGGUGAUCGGCCACACUGGAACUGAGACACGGUCCAGACUCCUACGGGAGGCACCAUUAGGGAAUCUUCCGCAAUGGGCGAAAGCCUAACGGAGCAACGCCGCGUGAGUGAUGAAGGUCUUCGGAUCGUAAAACUCUGUUGUUAGGGAAGAACAAAUUUGUUAGUAACUGAACAAGUCUUGACGGUACCUAACCAGAAAGCCACGGCUAACUA
RNAcentral lists this ribosomal RNA (248 nucleotides) under Mammaliicoccus sciuri. RNAcentral describes it as "partial 16S ribosomal RNA". It matches the Rfam family "Bacterial small subunit ribosomal RNA", at positions 263 to 503 of the family's 1533-position model. Lineage: Bacteria; Bacillati; Bacillota; Bacilli; Caryophanales; Staphylococcaceae. The record is from RNAcentral.